GCCAGGUACAGGGGCUCCCACCUGUGGUCCCAGCUACUCAGGAGUCUGAGGUGGGAGGAUUGCUUGAGCCUGGGAGUUCUGGGCUGUAGUACACUAUGCCGAUGGGGGGUCAGUAUGGUCCAGGGAGUGGAGUACCACUAGGUUGCCUGAGGAGGGGUAAACUGGCUCAGGUCAGAAACAGAGCAGGUCAAAACUCCCAUGCUGAUCAGUAAUAAGAUCGCGCCUAUGAAUAGCCACUGCACUCCAACCCCAGCCUGGGCAACCUGGCAAGACCUCAUUUCUU
Chlorocebus sabaeus (green monkey) is the source of this 283-nucleotide non-coding RNA. It matches the Rfam family "Metazoan signal recognition particle RNA". From Rfam's summary of the family: The signal recognition particle (SRP) is a universally conserved ribonucleoprotein. It is involved in the co-translational targeting of proteins to membranes. NCBI's taxonomy places the organism in Eukaryota, Metazoa, Chordata, Mammalia, Primates, Cercopithecidae. The record is from Rfam.